AGGUGAAAGAAUCGAAACGAGAGAGAGACGAGCAGAGUCCUUGCUACAGUUGCCGACAAGAUGCAGCCCACGAAAUCUGCCCAUCAUGUAAGGAGGCAAUGAAAGGCGUUCGAGUUCCCAAGAAGCGAGAGUUGUCGGACGGCGAUUAUGGAGGCUUAUCGGAGGAGUUGGUACGCACUCUCUCUCAAC
Long non-coding RNA from Patiria miniata (bat star), 189 nucleotides. RefSeq lists it as uncharacterized. Lineage: Eukaryota; Metazoa; Echinodermata; Asteroidea; Valvatida; Asterinidae. The record is from RefSeq and is a predicted model, not a curated record. The transcript is spliced from 3 exons.